Molecule: long non-coding RNA, 197 nt
Organism: Dermochelys coriacea (leatherback sea turtle)
Lineage: Eukaryota; Metazoa; Chordata; Testudines; Dermochelyidae
Exons: 3
Source: RefSeq, a predicted model, not a curated record
CCUUUGAGGGGGAGGACACAGGGGUCAUUCCUUAGUAUUCCCUCAGCCCAUGACAGGCAGCACCCCACUCUCCCCAAUGGGGGUGGGGUGCAGGCAUGGCCUGGCCAGGAACAGGUUCCCUUGGUAGGCUGCUAAGCCAGGUGCAGGAAGAAGCUGGCAGACAGCCUCUCCAGCAGGAAUACAGGGUUUUCCCUGCA